RNAcentral lists this transfer RNA (67 nucleotides) under Mutilla europaea. RNAcentral's name for it is "tRNA-Ser". Lineage: Eukaryota; Metazoa; Arthropoda; Insecta; Hymenoptera; Mutillidae. The record is from RNAcentral.
UGCCAGGGAACUUGAAAAAGUAUAUGUUUUGAAAACAUAAAAUAGAAUUAAAAUUUUCUACUAGCNA